This 549-nucleotide long non-coding RNA is filed under the name Homo sapiens (human). RNAcentral's name for it is "long non-coding RNA NONHSAT181103.1". Lineage: Eukaryota; Metazoa; Chordata; Mammalia; Primates; Hominidae. The record is from RNAcentral.
GAUUCCGUCCUUAGCAUCAGGAAAGAAAAGACCCGGCUUGUGAGCUCCUUGUCCCACCUUCUUUCACUCCAGACGUCCAUCUCCAUCUUUCUCCAUCAGGGACUUUCUGGGCAGGACACUUCCUUGAUCACAUCCCCAGUUUUCCACCCAGGACUUUGUGAAAACUCCUCCAGGCCUGGCUCUUGGGUGCUGGACCUUCUCUUGCGUGGUUAGUUGUAAAACUUGAUGCUUCUGCAGGCAGAUGAUGGCAGAAAGCUCCCACCCCACCACGCUGAUGACGGCAGAAAGCUCCCGCCCCACCACGCUGAUGACGGCAGAAAGCUCCCGCCCCACCACGCUGAUGAUGGCACUCUCGUUGGGUGGUUGUGUGGUCUUCAUACAAUUUCAGGGUAAAUCGCCACUUGAUGUCAUUGCUAAAUGGGAUACCUGAGCUAUGAUGAUUUUGCCUGAUUGUUAAAGUUAGUAUUUUAAGACCAAAGAUGGACAAAAUACGUUAAAAUUGUCUGUAAAAAGGCACAUUUCUGAAUUUGCUUUUAAUACUUUAAAAGA